GUGUCAGCCGCCGCGGUAAGACGAAGGUGGCAAGCGUUGUUCGGAUUCACUGGGCAUAAAGGGCGCGUAGGCGGUUCGGUAAGCGGCGUGUGAAAGCCCCUGGCUCAACCAGGGAAGUGCACGCCGGACUGCCGUUCUAGAGGGUGGUAGGGGGGACUGGAACUCUCGGUGGAGCGGUGAAAUGCGUAGAUAUCGAGAGGAACACCGGUGGCGAAGGCGAGUCCCUGGUCCACUUCUGACGCUGAGGCGCGAAAGCGUGGGUAGCAAACAGGAUUAGAUACCCUGGUAGUCCACGCCGUAAACGAUGAGCACUAGGUAGCGGCCGGAUCCGACCGGUCGCUGCUGACGGAAAUCCAUUAAGUGCUCCGCCUGGGGAGUAUGGUCGCAAGGCUGAA
RNAcentral lists this ribosomal RNA (395 nucleotides) under uncultured bacterium. RNAcentral describes it as "bacterial SSU rRNA". It matches the Rfam family "Bacterial small subunit ribosomal RNA", at positions 505 to 898 of the family's 1533-position model. The record is from RNAcentral.